GACGAACGCUGGCGGCGUGCCUAAUACAUGCAAGUCGUGCGGACCUUGUUGAAAGCUUGCUUUUAAAAGGUUAGCGGCGGACGGGUGAGUAACACGUGGGCAACCUGCCUGUAAGACUGGGAUAACGCCGGGAAACCGGGGCUAAUACCAGAUCGUUUUUUCCUCCGCAUGGAGGAAAAAGGAAAGGCGGCUUCGGCUGCCACUUACAGAUGGGCCCGCGGCGCAUUAGCUAGUUGGCGGGGUAAUGGCCCACCAAGGCAACGAUGCGUAGCCGACCUGAGAGGGUGAUCGGCCACAUUGGGACUGAGACACGGCCCAAACUCCUACGGGAGGCAGCAGUAGGGAAUCUUCCGCAAUAGACGAAAGUCUGACGGAGCAACGCCGCGUGAGUGAAGAAGGCCUUCGGGUCGUAAAACUCUGUUGCCGGGGAAGAACAAGUGCCGUUCGAACAGGGCGGCGCCUUGACGGUACCCGGCCAGAAAGCCACGGCUAACUACGUG
RNAcentral lists this ribosomal RNA (500 nucleotides) under uncultured bacterium. Its description in RNAcentral is "partial 16S ribosomal RNA". It matches the Rfam family "Bacterial small subunit ribosomal RNA", at positions 28 to 507 of the family's 1533-position model. The record is from RNAcentral.